Molecule: ribosomal RNA, 429 nt
Filed under: Bacteroidota bacterium
Lineage: Bacteria; Pseudomonadati; Bacteroidota
Description: Bacteroidetes bacterium partial 16S ribosomal RNA
Rfam family: Bacterial small subunit ribosomal RNA
Source: RNAcentral
UAGGGAAUCUUCCGCAAUGGACGCAAGUCUGACGGAGCAACGCCGCGUGAGUGAAGAAGGAUUUCGGUUCGUAAAACUCUGUUGUUAGAGAAGAACAGCGCAUAGAGUAACUGUUAUGCGUGUGACGGUAUCUAACCAGAAAGCCACGGCUAACUACGUGCCAGCAGCCGCGGUAAUACGUAGGUGGCAAGCGUUGUCCGGAUUUAUUGGGCGUAAAGCGAGCGCAGGCGGUCAAUUAAGUCUGAUGUGAAAGGCCCCGGCUCAACCGGGGAGGGUCAUUGGAAACUGGUUGACUUGAGUGCAGAAGAGGAGAGUGGAAUUCCAUGUGUGGCGGUGAAAUGCGUAGAUAUAUGGAGGAACACCAGUGGCGAAGGCGACUCUCUGGUCUGUAACUGACGCUGAAGUUCGAAAGCGUGGGUAGCAAACAGG